UUUUUCUUUUUCUUUUCUUUUUUUGUCUUUUUAGGGCCGCACCCGUGGCAUAUGGAAGUUCCCAGGUUAGGGGUCAGAUCAGAGCUGUAGCUGCUGGCCUACGCCAGAGCCACAGCAACGCCAGGUCUGAUCUGUGUCUGUACCAACACCACAGCUCAAGGCAAUGCCAGAUUCUUAACGCACUGAUCAAGGCCAGGGAUCAAACCCACAUUCUCAUGGAUACUAGUUGGGUUCAUUACGUCUAAGCCACGAUAGAAACUCUUUAGUUUGGUUCAUUGUGUAGCAGACAGUUCCUGAACUGCUCCUUGUGUCUCUCCUGAGACAUUCCCAGCUCUGGAAGUGAGUGUGCGGCAGGCUGGACGUGGAGAAUUAAUACCCCCAGGGUAAUCCUCAAACAAGAAGGGUCCAGAGUGAGUGGAUAAACCCUCUAGCUUUCAGUCCCUCUGAGAGCAGGGCAAUUCCCAGUUUCUAGGCAUGUUCUAGUCUCAGGGACACUCCAGCAGAAUAGAACCUAAGUUGUCCCUGGGGAAAAGCUGCUUAUCCCUGUGUGCUUUGCUAGCUUUCCUCUCUUGCUUGUCUCACUUCUCUACUCCCUCAGCUUGCUUCUGGGAUCACCUCCUAAAUAAACAACUUGUAUCCAGAUCUGUCUCAGGGUCAGCUUUUAGGGGAACCCAAACUGAGACAAUGAACAACAACUCUUGCUAAGUGCUUUUUCAUUUCACCUGUUAAUUUCUUAACAUCCCCUGAAGGAGGUGUCCUUAACCCCAUUUGACAAAUGAAGAACAAAGAGAUGAAUACAAAGGCAAGGAUUCAAACUCACAUCUGUGUAGUUCUAAAACCUGUGUAGCUCCUUAACCACUAUGCUCUGUGGCCUCCCUAAUUGUCUGAUCUUUGCUGGGCCUUAUUUUUUUCACCUAUAAAAUGAGGAAUGGGCUUUUGAGUUUGAAGGGAGGCAAGGUACCCAGUGACUCCUGCAGUUAGGCCUGGUCAUUGAGAUGUAAGCAGAAGUUAUUGGGAGAGAAAGUGCUUUAAAGGGACUGAUUCGGGCGUUCCCUUCAUGGCUCAGCGGUUAAUGAACCCGACUAGGAUCCAUGAGGAUGUGGGUUUGAUCCCUGGCCUCGCUCAGCUUAAUAUGAUCAAAUAACUAGUCUGAGGUCACACGGCUAAGUGACAGAGCUGGAAGUUGCUCCCAUUCCACCAUCCUGCCUCCCAGUACCCUAGCCUUAAAAAAAAAAAAACUGCUCAAGGCCACUCCUUCAUGAAGUCUCCCCUGAGUUCCCCCAACCUGAUGUGAGCUUUUCCUCUUGUGGAUGCCAGGGAUGUGGUUUCAACCUCUCCUGGCACACCCUGCCUGUCCAAGAGCCAUCACAGCAAGUGUUCAGGAGACGCAGCGAGGAUGCUUUCAUGCACCAGGCUUUUUGCUGUUUUACAUGCUUCUCAAUUUACUCCUCUCCAAAUUCCUAGCUUUUACCUUCUCAUCAGACCGCAUCUCCUUCCCCAGAGCACAGGAAUGCCACAGGGGCCAGGGAGAGAGUUCUUGCACCCUCACCGCCUGGAGCACAGGGCUCUGCACACUUAGUAACUGAGGGCUGUACUUACAGACUCUAAAUGUGGGCCCCUCAGGGGAGGAAGGGCCUGAGAUGCUGAGUUCCAGGGUGAGGUGAGCAGUCCCAAGCAAGCUGCGGCUCUGUUCUGUUUUCACUCUCCUUUUCUGUUUCCAGCCAAAGGACAUUCUCAACAAUCUUGGUGAUGCCAGGAGGCCCAGACGGGAUGGAAAACCAGUAGGCACACUUCUGCUUCUUGUCCUUAUCUCCCCUCUGGCUCUUCAUGCGACUCCAUUUGGAAAUAAACUGCAAAACCUAAUAGAUUUUCCAUGGAAAUGUGGCACAUACCAGGGAACAGUCCAUUCUCCUGGCUGCCUUAGUGAGGCCAAAAUCGGUGCUAGAGAAGGUUCUCUCAGCCACGGUGUCAUCCUGGAGACUUUGAGGGGGUGGGGGUGGGCAGGGUUUCUUUCAUUAUCUGCUCUCCCUCUCAGCAAGUUGGUGUGUCUUGAAUAGCUCCUCCAGGUCACAGCUUUGUUCCCUCCCCGCUUUUCCUUGACACUCUCCAAAGCACUGUUCUCCAGCCAUAUUUUGGUGUUUGGAACUAAUAACUAUGUAUCUGAAAACACUCUUUUUCUGGGUGGCAGUAAGUUGAUUCCAGAACAAUUGUGGUGCUUUUCUGUUUUGGUUUGUUUGUGUUUGAGAGGGCCUAAAAAGCUCCUGGGCCUUGGAUUUUUUUCUUUCUUUUUCUUUUUAGGGCCACACCUGAGGCAUAUGGAGGUUCCCAGGCUAGGGGUCCAGUCGGAGCUACAGCUGCCGGCCUAUGCCACAGCCACAGCCACAUCAGAUCUGAGCCACAUCUAUGACCUAUGCCACACAGCUCACAGCAACACCAGAUCCUUAACCCACUAAGCAAGGCCAGGGAUUGAACCCGCAACCUCACGGUUCCUAAUCAGAUUCAUUUCCACUGUGCCACGAUGGGAACUCCUGAGGCCAGGGAUUGAACCUGCACCUCAGCAGCGACCUGAGCUGCAGCAGUGACAAUGGUGGAUCCUUAACCUAAUGCGCCACAAGGGAAUUUCAGAAUAACUGUGGUUUUAAUACAAAAUCUGCCCGAUUGGUCCCAGACAGGAGAUUUGGGGCCUGGACUGCAGAGGAACCCUUUUAGGAGAGCAUGACAAAUGGGUAUUUCAACAUUUUGUCUCAGGGCCAUGGAAUCAUGGCAGCGUUAGACCCGCCUCCCCACCAAAGCUUGGGGAAGCAGCACACAGACGAAGAGGCUGAGUCAUAUGGACAAAGCUGGCUGUAAGGGAAACACUUUCAGUUGCUUUAGAAAUCAAUUUGUUACCAUCUAAGAUGUUCUCCAGAAAAGUUGUUUUUUGAUUGAUGGCAAAAAACCCCCUUCCAUUUGCAACUUUUUCCUUCUAAGACAAAAAUCAGAGGCCAAGAUCCUGACUCUCUCAAGUCUGAAGACCUAAGAUGAAGGAUUAAUAGAGGUGGAAAAAGUUAAAUGAGAGUUUACAUGUGACAUCCUUAAAGAAGCC
This 3085-nucleotide long non-coding RNA is filed under the name Sus scrofa (pig). Its description in RNAcentral is "lncRNA (ENSSSCG00050007058.1, ENSSSCG00060025278.1)". Lineage: Eukaryota; Metazoa; Chordata; Mammalia; Artiodactyla; Suidae. The record is from RNAcentral.